RNAcentral lists this ribosomal RNA (311 nucleotides) under uncultured soil bacterium. Its description in RNAcentral is "bacterial SSU rRNA". It matches the Rfam family "Bacterial small subunit ribosomal RNA", at positions 26 to 364 of the family's 1533-position model. The record is from RNAcentral.
AGAACGAACGCUGGCGGCAUGCCUAAUACAUGCAAGUCGAACGAACUCUUCGGAGUUAGUGGCGCACGGGUGCGUAACGCGUGGGAAUCUGCCCCUUGGUUCGGAAUAACAGUUGGAAACGACUGCUAAUACCGGAUGAUGACGAAAGUCCAAAGAUUUAUCGCCAAGGGAUGAGCCCGCGUAGGAUUAGCUAGUUGGUGAGGUAAAGGCUCACCAAGGCAACGAUCCUUAGCUGGUCUGAGAGGAUGAUCAGCCACACUGGGACUGAGGCACGGCCCAGACUCCGUACGGGAGGCAGCAGUAGGGGAACA